Molecule: ribosomal RNA, 279 nt
Filed under: uncultured bacterium
Lineage: Bacteria
Description: partial 16S ribosomal RNA
Rfam family: Bacterial small subunit ribosomal RNA
Source: RNAcentral
UGCCAGCAGCCGCGGUAAGACGAAGGUGGCAAGCGUUGUUCGGAAUUACUGGGCAUAAAGAGCGCGUAGGUGGCGUGGUCAGCGAGGAAUGAAAUCCCAUGGCUCACCCAUGGAACUGUUUCUCGAACUGCCAUGCUUGAGGACGGGAGGGGAAGGUGGAAUUCCGAGUGUAGAGGUGAAAUUCGUAGAUAUUCGGAGGAACACCAGUGGCGAAGGCGGCUCACUGGCUCGAUACUGACGCUGAGGUACGAAAGUGUGGGGAGUAAACAGGAUUAGAUA